Molecule: ribosomal RNA, 496 nt
Filed under: uncultured bacterium
Lineage: Bacteria
Description: partial 16S ribosomal RNA
Rfam family: Bacterial small subunit ribosomal RNA
Source: RNAcentral
GAUGAACGCUGGCGGCGUGCCUAAUACAUGCAAGUCGAGCGAACGGACGAGAAGCUUGCUUUUCUGAUGUUAGCGGCGGACGGGUGAGUAACACGUGGAUAACCUACCUAUAAGACUGGGAUAACUUCGGGAAACCGGAGCUAAUACCGGAUAAUAUUUUGAACCGCAUGGUUCAAAAGUGAAAGACGGUCUUGCUGUCACUUAUAGAUGGAUCCGCGCUGCAUUAGCUAGUUGGUAAGGUAACGGCUUACCAAGGCAACGAUGCAUAGCCGACCUGAGAGGGUGAUCGGCCACACUGGAACUGAGACACGGUCCUGAGUCCUACGGGAGGCAGCAGUAGGGAAUCUUCCGAACUGGGCGAAAGCCUGACGGAGCAACGCCGCGUGGGUGAUGAAGGUCUGCGGAUCGUAAAACUCUGUUAGUGGUGAAGAACAUAUGUGCAAGUAACGGUGCAUAUCUUGACGGUACCUAAUCAGAAAGCCACGGCUAACUACGU